GCUGCAUCCUACAGCUGGGAGUAUGUUUAUUUCAGAUGGGUGUCUUUUCAAGUGGGUGCCUCAACAGUCAAGGCCUAAUGUCAGGAAAUUCUAUGCUCCAAUGUGCCCGGAGAUAUGAAGCAUGACAAGAACUACCACCCAAGCAGUUGUCAGAAUGAAAAGGGUUUGACAGCAGCUCCUCCAGGGGCUUGCCCUUCUCCCGCAAGCCAUCAACAAUGAAGAUGCUCCUGGGAUGGAAGGAUGGUGACUUUCCAGGCAGAAACUGUUUUCAGAAUCUGUACUUGUUUACUCAAAGGGGAUAUCAAAGAAAAAAGUUAAGGCAUUUCUUGAAUGAGGAAGAAAAGUGAAUGACAAGUAGAUUCGAAACUGAAAGCAAUAAAAUGAAUGUGGCUUAAAAAAAAAAAUGCUUUUAAACAAGCGCCCUCCAGCAUCUCAAGAGCAUCAUGACCAGAGAGCGGAGUGCUGUUCUGCCAUCAGAGGAGGACGAGUAGAUCCUGGAUGCGGCCCGAGAGAGACACAAUUCAGAGCUAGGUGGUACCAAGGUAAGUGCACAUGAGGAACUGUUGAGAAGCCAGAUCAAAUUCCUAAACUCUGAGUAGCCUCCGUGUCAGGUUAUGUGGAUUCUAUCAUAGAAGCACUCACAGCCUUCCUGGAGCAUUGCUGCUCAGUUUCCGUUCUGAGCCGCACUGGGGGUGAUCCUUCAGAUAGGAGAAGCCCCGGUAAGGCUAUCACAAGCAAACGUGACAGACUCAGGCAAGACAGUUUUUACCCCAACGCGCCACCAUGAUUGCCUAACCAAGGGGGCAAAAUUAUUAUAGCUGCCACUCUCCCAAAUCGGUGCCCUCCCACCAAAGACUUCCAGGUGGUUUGAGGGACCCCAGUUCCGUGUUCUUCACACUCCAAUUCAGAAGAGGAGACUAUUGAAAGAAUUAUGGUCAUCCUAGUUUAGCCCAUUGUGUAAAUCAUCCACUGCCACCAAAGAAUUGCUCCCCUGGAUUAAUUCUACCAAAACCAUCUGAGAAAACCAAUUCUUGGUACGAUGGGCUACUAUCAGAGAGCUCCGGUUAACGCAUAUGUAACUUCGUGAGCACAGAUGUAACCUGGAAGGAAGACAUACAAAUAUUUAGCUUGAAAGAUUUACAACCAAUCUUUUCGAAGGGAGCAAUGCUUUAAAACGGGGAUCAGCAGAUUACGGUUGGCAUGUCAAAUCCAGUCCACAGUCUGCUCUUGUAAACGAAGUUUUGAUGGAACACAGCCACGCUCAUUAAUUUAUGUGUUGCCUAUGGCUGCUUUCGUACUCAACAGCAGUGUUGGGUAGUUGCAAUGGAAAUUAUAUGGCUUGCAAAGGCUAAAAUGUUUA
This is a long non-coding RNA of Panthera uncia (snow leopard), 1360 nucleotides long. RefSeq lists it as uncharacterized. The transcript is spliced from 3 exons. NCBI's taxonomy places the organism in Eukaryota, Metazoa, Chordata, Mammalia, Carnivora, Felidae. The record is from RefSeq and is a predicted model, not a curated record.